RNAcentral lists this non-coding RNA (29 nucleotides) under Mus musculus (house mouse). The record is from RNAcentral. Lineage: Eukaryota; Metazoa; Chordata; Mammalia; Rodentia; Muridae.
UGAUCAGGCAGGCUUAGGGUGUUCAGCGA